AUUGAACGCUGGCGGCAGGCCUAACACAUGCAAGUCGAGCGGAUGAAGGGAGCUUGCUCCUGGAUUCAGCGGCGGACGGGUGAGUAAUGCCUAGGAAUCUGCCUGGUAGUGGGGGAUAACGUCCGGAAACGGGCGCUAAUACCGCAUACGUCCUGAGGGAGAAAGUGGGGGAUCUUCGGACCUCACGCUAUCAUAUGAGCCUAGGUCGGAUUAGCUAGUUGGUUGGGUAAAGGCCUACCAAAGCGACGAUCCGUAACUGGUCUGAGAGGAUGAUCAGUCACACUGGAACUGAGACACGGUCCAGACUCCUACGGGAGGCAGCAGUGGGGAAUAGUGGACAAUGGGAGAAAGCCUGAUCCAGCAAUGCCGAGUGUGUGAAGAAGGUCUUCGGAUGGUAAAGCACUUUAAGUUGGGAGGAAGGGAAGUAAGUUAAUACCUUGCUGUUUUGACGGUAACAACAGAAUAAGCACCGGCUAACUUCGUG
Molecule: ribosomal RNA, 484 nt
Filed under: uncultured bacterium
Lineage: Bacteria
Description: partial 16S ribosomal RNA
Rfam family: Bacterial small subunit ribosomal RNA
Source: RNAcentral